Long non-coding RNA from Sapajus apella (tufted capuchin), 3946 nucleotides. RefSeq lists it as uncharacterized. The record is from RefSeq and is a predicted model, not a curated record. The transcript has 8 exons. Lineage: Eukaryota; Metazoa; Chordata; Mammalia; Primates; Cebidae.
AAUUUUAUUGUUUAAUUUGCUGGGACAUUUUGGAUAGCUAUAAUUCACAUGGAAGUUAUUUAAAAUCGUAGGGUAGGCCUUUUUGAGGCUGACAUAAUUUAUCUGUAGCUCUGCUUAGAAGCUAGGAUAUGGAUGAUAUGACUUCUAUAGGCCCCUGCAUGUCCCAGGAAUAUAUGGGUAAUUGGUUUUAGCAGUGCUUGAACAGCACAUGGUUUCAGUAUAGUGUAGGCAGAAUUUGACCCCAGAAAAACAGACAUAAUUUUUGUUUUUUUAAAAAUAAGAGCCCUUGAAGAAAGCCUGAAAUAAUUCCAGAGUUACUGUAAACAAAGUGGUGGGAGCCUUACUCAUCACAGAGAAAAGUCAGGCUCAUUAAAGAAGGCUCUCUACACAACAUCCACAGAUACAGCAGACACAGAUGAAAGAUGGGUGCAACCCAGAACAGAGAGUAAAGAAUGACCAGGCAACACUCUUUGAAAAUUGGAGACCAUUUGCAGCUGCUCUGUGUUGAGGAAAGUGAAUAAUAGGGUGCCCUCAAGGAAUUUCGAAGACCCCUGCAGAAGGAGGACAGAGAACAAUGUUGAUCCAACCUACAAAGGUUGGAUCACUUCUAGAGGAUCCUAGAAGAGCUCACUGCAAGACUACAGCUUCCACCCUGAUUGUUUGGGUAGCCAGUUUAUCUGCUUAUGUAAGAUCCUUACAGUCCUAGGUUAGUGACAUGAAAGCACAGCCCUGGGAGCCAUGCAGCAGCCAGUGCUCUGCCCAUAUGUAACCCUUUGGGACCUCCACUUCAAUUCCCCCAAAGAGGAAAGCAAAGGAAAGAAGAACAAAAAUGUCUGAAGCACCGACAUCAGGCACUGGCCCAGCUGCCAUGGACCCCCAAGUUCAAGAUCAUAUAACCUCAGCCGGCCCAAAUGCACCAAGCAUACAACCACGGGGGAACCUAACUGUUCCAGUGGAAGAGCGGGGACCAAUUUAAGAGGUGGACACCAUGUGGCAGAAUCCAGGAUCCAAUCAGAUUGAGCCCUGGGGUCACCCUGUGGCAGGAUCCAGUUGGAUCAUGCCCCCUGGUAUCACCUAUUGCAAGAUCCAAUCAGGAAAAGCACAGUACAGGGGACUUUAGAAGCACAUGGCAGACCUAUCUAAUCCAGUGGAGAGAGACUUGAAAAAUCCUGGAAAGGGAGACACAAACAGAAUCUUAAAAGGCAUGUUGAAUACCCUCGUCCAGGCCUGAACACAAUGCCGCUGACCAGAACACAGCAGAGUCACCAGCCACCUUCACUGACUUUUAAAUAACAAAAGAAGUUUUGUUCUUCAUCUUCGCUGACAAACUUGCAGAAGAAGGUGGACAUCUGAUUGACAGGUAUCUCGACAACCUUUUGCAAUUGUCUUUUGAUUUUUGACUAAGAUUUGCAUUGAAAGUGUAUAUGAUAAAAUAUAUACAAAAAAGAAAUGGAAUCAGCAAUAACAUCAGGCUUUCAUUUAAAAAAUAUAAAUUAUUGCACAAGUUAAAGAAUUUCUCCUUGGAGCUUUGUUCUUUUAGGUUAUCAAAUAGAAAAUAGGAAAAUGUGAAAUGUACCUCAAAUUAAAAGAAAAAUUUAGGACAAAUUAAAUUUAACAGAGUUUAAUUGAACGAAGAAUAAUUGGUGAAUUGAGCAGUCCACAAACCAAUCAGAAUAGGUUGAGUGACUUCAGUGCUGUACUAUGGUUGGAGAAGAUUUAUGGACAGAAAAAAAAGAUGCACAGAAAAUGGAAGUGAGGUACAGAAAUUGCUGGGGCGGUUACAGCUCCAUGUUUGCCUUAUUUGAAAAGGGUUGACCAGUUGGCAGCUUGUAAUUGGUUGAAAAUCUGUAAUUGGCACAAGAGUAGGUCACAGUCCAUUGACAGGUCUGGUUAGGUUACAGUUCACUAUAUAUAGAAAAACUUUAGGAAGAACUUAAAAUAUGUAAGGAGGCAGCUUUAGGCUAAAUUUAAUAUAACAUUCAUGAUGUAAGAAUUAUGGAUGGACUGCAAUUCGCUUGUUGAUGAACAUUUAUUUGGAUUUUUACCUGGUUUUGGCUACUGUGAAUAAAGCUGUAAUGAAGUCUUGAAUUUAGAAAACGAAAGGUAUGUUGUUUAAUUUCCACGUAUAUUUAACUUUUCCAGUUUUCCUUCCGUUUCUAGUUUCCAUUGGGAUCAGAAAAGAUGCUUUGUAUGCCUUGAAUCUUUCUAAAUGUAUUAAGACUUAUUUUGGGGCCUAACAUAGAUCUAUCUUAGAGAAAGUUUCAUGCAUACUUAAGAAAAACAUGUAUUCUGCUAUUGUUGGGUGGUAUGCUUUGUAUGUCUGUUAAGUCUUUCUGGCUUAUAGUGUUGUUCAAGUCUUCUAUGUCCUUACUGAUGAUCUAUCUGAAUAUUCUAUCCAUUAUUACAAGUGGAAUAUUGAAAAAAGAAUUUUAUAAUUAUUUUUCACUACAGUUUUGCUAUUUCAUAUUUUAUCUCUGAAUAUAUUUUGUUAUUUUAAUUUAAUUGAUCUGGGGAUCAGCAGUUUUAAAAACAUUAACUUUAUUUUUUCCGAAACACAAAUUCAUUUCCCAAGUUAAGAUGUGUGUUUGAAACUUUGAGUUGUAGUAUGUCUGACCCAGCAAACCCGCCUUACUAACUUUCAAUGCAGUGACAGAGUUCCUUGCUGUUCCUAAACUCACAGCUGAGUAUUUGUUUUUUGAUUGUCUUUUUCAUUUAUUUCUCCAUCCCCUUUCAGGGCAUUCUUUCACUUUCAGGAUUUGUUAACCGCUUGCUUAAUUGUUUCAAAUUACAUUCUAGUAAAUGUGGCACAAAUCUAACGUAAUGGAAGCAAGAAAGCUCUUCAUCUUAUCUCACCUUUGGGAAUGCAAUGUCCUGCUGUCUUUCUGGUUUAUGCCUAACUUCUACAAAGCAGAGCAAAAGCAAGAGGGAUUAAUUAGGAAGGGUAUCUGUACUAGGUAUACCUCCUAGAGGUACAAAAGUAAGUGUGCAAAGAAUAUUUAUGUGCAUUAGGUAAAUUAGUAAGAAAAUAGAUUUAUUAAAUUGUACAAUCAUGUUUUAGGGGUUUUGUACACAAAAUGUGGCAAACUUAUACACAGACCAGUUGUAAAGAAUAAAUAGAUAAUACCAUCUACAGUAUCUUUUCAGUAAAAACAUCGUCGGGUAUCUUUUCACAAACAUAUGUAAGACAUUUUCAUGUCUACUUUUGUCAUUCAUUUUGUGUUUCCACUAAGCUUUUAAAAGACUAUGUUAUUAAUUGCAAAUACAAUCAUUCCCUGUGCAAAGAAACUUCAUGUUAGUUACAUGAUUUGAAACAGCCCCCUUUUAAAUUUCUAUUUUCUCCUUUUCAUACUUGAGUAUCCUUCUUAGAUAAAGAAUAUAUAAUUUUACUCUUUGCACUUAUUAAGAUUUAAGAGUGGUGGAGUUUCAUAUUUCUUAUUGUUAAAUCAAUAAAUGAAUAAAAAUUUAUUUACAUCCAGGCUUAAGAAGUUAUAGGGGGGUAUAAAAUUUGUGUAUACAAACAACCAAAACAGCCAUUAAUAUCAUAUGGAUUGUGUAUCAGCAUCAUGUACCCUUGAUAGGAUACACUGAAGGACACACAUCACUUCUGUGGCAUUCUUGCCAAAAACACAUAGUCUUAAUUGACCAUCAGUUAAACCCAAGUGGACAGACAUGAGACUAGUACUCAUGCUACAAAAUAGCAGAUCAGUGCUCUUCAAAAUACUCUCUUAAGGUCAUAGAAAAUAACGAAAGACUAAGGAAAUGUGUGAGGCUGGAGGAGACUAAGGAGCUGUGACAACUAAAUGCAAUUCACAAAUUGUGGGAUCUUGGAUAGGAUCCUGGGACUGAAAAAAGACGAUACAGGAAAAAGUAUUGAGAUCAUAAUAAAGUCUGUACUUCAGCGAAUAGUGUAAUACCCAUUGUUUUUUUGUUUUUUUUUAACUUUAGG